ACAGAGGCCACAAGCGUUAGGCGGAAUCACUGGGCUUAAAGCGUGUGUAGGCGGACCGUUAAGUGCUUUGUGAAAUCCCCCGGCUCAACCGGGGAAUGGCUGGGCAUACUGGCGGUCUUGAGCUGCCUAGGGGUCACUGGAACAAACGGUGGAGCGGUGAAAUGCGUAGAUAUCGUUUGGAACGCCCAAGGUGAAAACAGGUGACUGGGGGCAAGCUGACGCUGAGACACGAAAGCCAGGGGAGCAAACGG
Molecule: ribosomal RNA, 251 nt
Filed under: uncultured prokaryote
Description: partial 16S rRNA
Rfam family: Bacterial small subunit ribosomal RNA
Source: RNAcentral